Molecule: ribosomal RNA, 253 nt
Filed under: uncultured bacterium
Lineage: Bacteria
Description: partial 16S ribosomal RNA
Rfam family: Bacterial small subunit ribosomal RNA
Source: RNAcentral
UACGUAGGGUGCAAGCGUUAAUCGGAAUUACUGGGCGUAAAGCGUGCGCAGGCGGUGAUGUAAGACAGAUGUGAAAUCCCCGGGCUCAACCUGGGAACUGCAUUUGUGACUGCAUCGCUGGAGUACGGCAGAGGGGGAUGGAAUUCCGCGUGUAGCAGUGAAAUGCGUAAAUAUGCGGAGGAACACCGAUGGCGAAGGCAAUCCCCUGGGCCUGUACUGACGCUCAUGCACGAAAGCGUGGGGAGCAAACAGG